AUUUGUGUUCUGUUUUUUUGACUCCAGGCCUGGUGCCAUCUAGCUGCCCUAACACUACAGAGACAAGCUGCAGAAAAAGGAGUAAAGAGGCAUGCUGUGUGAGAACCAUAGAUAGUGUGAUGGAUGGAAGCAGGCAAUGUUGAGGAAGAGGAUGAUCUUCUGGAAAAGAAUCAGAAAAAAGAUGAAGAAAUG
RNAcentral lists this long non-coding RNA (192 nucleotides) under Sarcophilus harrisii (Tasmanian devil). RNAcentral describes it as "lncRNA (ENSSHAG00000026760.1)". The record is from RNAcentral. Lineage: Eukaryota; Metazoa; Chordata; Mammalia; Dasyuromorphia; Dasyuridae.